RNAcentral lists this ribosomal RNA (253 nucleotides) under uncultured bacterium. Its description in RNAcentral is "partial 16S ribosomal RNA". It matches the Rfam family "Bacterial small subunit ribosomal RNA", at positions 524 to 776 of the family's 1533-position model. The record is from RNAcentral.
UACGUAGGUGGCAAGCGUUGUCCGGAAUUAUUGGGCGUAAAGCGCGCGCAGGUGGUUCUUUAAGUCUGAUGUGAAAGCCCACGGCUCAACCGUGGAGGGUCAUUGGAAACUGGGGAACUUGAGUGCAGAAGAGGAAAGUGGAAUUCCAAGUGUAGCGGUGAAAUGCGUAGAGAUUUGGAGGAACACCAGUGGCGAAGGCGACUUUCUGGUCUGUAACUGACGCUGAGGCGCGAAAGCGUGGGGAGCAAACAGG